UGUUAAACGUUUCAUCCAUUUAUAUAGUUAAAAACUGAUGUAGUUAAUGGAAUAGCCAAACAAUGAUACGUGGUGUGUCAUGUGUACCUCAUGCUAACGUACAUGGACUAGUUUUUAACAACGGGAAUUGAUGGAAUUGUUAAUA
This is a non-coding RNA of Gossypium raimondii (Peruvian cotton), 145 nucleotides long. The record is from Rfam. NCBI's taxonomy places the organism in Eukaryota, Viridiplantae, Streptophyta, Magnoliopsida, Malvales, Malvaceae.